This 326-nucleotide ribosomal RNA is filed under the name uncultured eukaryote. RNAcentral's name for it is "partial 18S ribosomal RNA". It matches the Rfam family "Eukaryotic small subunit ribosomal RNA", at positions 1470 to 1796 of the family's 1831-position model. The record is from RNAcentral.
CCCUUAGAUGUUCUGGGCCGCACGCGCGCUACACUGAUGCAUUCAACGAGCCUAGCCUUGACCGAGAGGUCCGGGUAAUCUUUGAAACUGCAUCGUGAUGGGGCCAGAUUAUUGCAAUUAUUAAUCUUCAACGAGGAAUGCCUAGUAAGCGUGAUUCAUCAAAUCGCGUUGAUUACGUCCCUGCCCUUUGUACACACCGCCCGUCGCUCCUACCGAUUGAGUGUGUUGGUGAGGAGUUCGGAUUGGCUCUUAGUGGUGGUUCGCCACCACCUAGAGCUGAGAAGUUCUCCAAACCGCCCCACUUAGAGGAAGGAGAAGUCGUAACA